AUAUUAAUAAGCGGAGGAAAAGAAACUAACAAGGAUUCCCCUAGUAACGGCGAGUGAAGCGGGAAGAGCUCAAAUUUGGAAUCUGGGUAGGUCUCCUACUCCGAGUUGUAAUCUAUAGACGUGUUUUCGGUGGUUGUGUUGGUAUAAAUCCUUUGGAACAGGGUAUCAUAGAGGGUGAAAAUCCCGUCUUUGACUGACAUACAACUGCCAUGUGAUACAUGUUCAAAGAGUCGCAUUGUUUGGGAAUGCAGCGCAAAGUAGGUGGUAAAUUCCAUCUAAAGCUAAAUAUUGGUGCGAGACCGAUAGCGAACAAGUACCGUGAGGGAAAGAUGAAAAGAACUUUGAAAAGAGAGUUAAAGAGUACCUGAAACUGCUGAAAGGGAACCGAAUCGUAUCCAGUGUCUAUAAUCCAUGGCAUAUUUCAUUGGCGAGUGAGUGCGUGCAGCGUUUUGGAAGUGGUUUUCCGCUCCUGUCGUUGUUGUGCAUUUGCUUGCUGGUGCCCUGUGCUGUGGUGGGACGUCAGAGUCAGUUUGUGUGUCGCGGGAAAUGGUUGUUGGGGAGGUAGGUCGCUUCGGUGGCUAUUAUAUCCUGGUAACUAGUCGUCGUGGCUGAGACUGAGGUGCCUACAAUGUGCUUUCGAGUGUGCGGGUUUCUCGUGUGGCUGUUUGCUUUGAUAGCUUGCUAUGUUGGUGAAUAAGUUGUGCGAUUGAGACCUGUAUUAACUUGUUGCCGUUCGGGACUUUGGCGAAAUGGAGCGAUCCGA
This 763-nucleotide ribosomal RNA is filed under the name uncultured fungus. RNAcentral's name for it is "eukaryotic LSU rRNA". It matches the Rfam family "Eukaryotic large subunit ribosomal RNA", at positions 40 to 647 of the family's 3401-position model. The record is from RNAcentral. Lineage: Eukaryota; Fungi.